This 253-nucleotide ribosomal RNA is filed under the name uncultured bacterium. Its description in RNAcentral is "partial 16S ribosomal RNA". It matches the Rfam family "Bacterial small subunit ribosomal RNA", at positions 524 to 776 of the family's 1533-position model. The record is from RNAcentral.
UACAGAGGGUGCAAGCGUUGUUCGGAAUCACUGGGCGUAAAGGGCGCGUAGGCGGCCGGUUAAGUCUGAUGUGAAAUCCCACGGCUCAACCGUGGAACUGCCUUUGAAACUGUCGGGCUUGAGGCCGGGAGAGGGUAGUGGAAUUCCCAGUGUAGCGGUGAAAUGCGUAGAUAUUGGGAGGAACACCAGUGGCGAAGGCGGCUACCUGGACCGGUUCUGACGCUGAGGCGCGAAAGCGUGGGUAGCAAGCAGG